This 538-nucleotide long non-coding RNA is filed under the name Phasianus colchicus (ring-necked pheasant). RNAcentral's name for it is "lncRNA (ENSPCLG00000003680.1)". The record is from RNAcentral. Lineage: Eukaryota; Metazoa; Chordata; Aves; Galliformes; Phasianidae.
UGUGUGCCAUCAUGCAAAGUCAUUAUUCUCAUGUGGCACUGUUGUUUUCCAUAUCUUUCCUAGGGAAAAGACUGGGAAAAAAGUGCUGGGCACGCAUGCUUUGACUGUGGUCAUCAUAACGAUAAUUGGCUGGUCUUUGUGGAAGCUGGAUUCUUUAUUUCAUAUAAAUAAAAAGUCCACAAGAAUAGCUUCUAAUAUUUGAAGACAAAUGCUGCUGGCAUCUCUGGUGCUAUUUCCUUUUCCCAUCCUGAGCGUGCACGGAGCCAUUCCCAGAGAGUUGGAGCUCUUCCACAAGAUGGUGCCGAGCUCUGUCGCUCACAAGUGGUGCGUAAUUGAAAUACGGCACACAUCCUCCUGGGGAAGGAAGAGAUUAUCUCAACGAAAACAGCAGAUGUAUUUUGGAGCGACGAGACAAAUGUUUAGUGAAAUUAAAGUUAUUCAUGUGCAGUCACACAGGGAAUAUUUGCAUGAUAUUUUACUAAUUGCUCCAAAAUCUGACUUGUAGCAAAUAAACAAACAUAGGAGAAAAAAUAAGCCA